Molecule: ribosomal RNA, 496 nt
Filed under: uncultured bacterium
Lineage: Bacteria
Description: partial 16S ribosomal RNA
Rfam family: Bacterial small subunit ribosomal RNA
Source: RNAcentral
GACGAACGCUGGCGGCGUGCCUAAUACAUGCAAGUAGAACGCUGAAGAGAGGAGCUUGCUCUUCUUGGCUGAGUUGCGAACGGGUGAGUAACGCGUAGGUAACCUGCCUUGUAGCGGGGGAUAACUAUUGGAAACGAUAGCUAAUACCGCAUAACAAUGGAUGACACAUGUCAUUUAUUUGAAGGGGGCAAUUGCUCCACUACAAGAUGGACCUGCGUUGUAUUAGCUAGUAGGUGAGGUAAUGGCUCACCUAGGCGACGAUACAUAGCCGACCUGAGAGGGUGAUCGGCCACACUGGGACUGAGACACGGCCCAGACUCCUACGGGAGGCAGCAGUAGGGAAUCUUCGGCAAUGGGGGCAACCCUGACCGAGCAACGCCGCGUGAGUGAAGAAGGUUUUCGGAUCGUAAAGCUCUGUUGUAAGUCAAGAACGGGUGUGAGAGUGGAAAGUUCACACUGUGACGGUAGCUUACCAGAAAGGGACGGCUAACUACGU